Molecule: ribosomal RNA, 777 nt
Filed under: fungal endophyte
Lineage: Eukaryota; Fungi
Description: eukaryotic LSU rRNA
Rfam family: Eukaryotic large subunit ribosomal RNA (bases 566-777)
Source: RNAcentral
GUGACCUGCGGAAGGAUCAUUACUAGAGCAAAGGAUAGACAGCGCCCGCGGAGCUCGCUCCCGGGGCCACCCUACUCCGGUAGGGUUUAGAGUCGUCGGGCCUCUCGGAGAAGCUCGGUCCUGAACUCCACCCUUGAAUAAACUACCUUUGUUGCUUUGGCGGGCCGCCUCGUGCCAGCGGCUUCGGCUGUUGAGUGCCCGCCAGAGGACCACAACUCUUGUUUUUUAGUGAUGUCUGAGUACUAUAUAAUAGUUAAAACUUUCAACAACGGAUCUCUUGGUUCUGGCAUCGAUGAAGAACGCAGCGAAAUGCGAUAAGUAAUGUGAAUUGCAGAAUUCAGUGAAUCAUCGAAUCUUUGAACGCACAUUGCGCCCUCUGGUAUUCCGGGGGGCAUGCCUGUUCGAGCGUCAUUAUAACCACUCAAGCUCUCGCUUGGUAUUGGGGUUCGCGGUUUCGCGGCCCCUAAAAUCAGUGGCGGUGCCUGUCGGCUCUACGCGUAGUAAUACUCCUCGCGAUUGAGUCCGGCAGGUCUACUUGCCAGCAACCCCUAAUUUUUUUUAAGGUUGACCUCGGAUCAGGUAGGGAUACCCGCUGAACUUAAGCAUAUCAAUAAGCGGAGGAAAAGAAACCAACAGGGAUUACCUCAGUAACGGCGAGUGAAGCGGUAACAGCUCAAAUUUGAAAGCUGGCUCUUUUAGGGUCCGCGUUGUAAUUUGUAGAAGAUGCUUCGGGUGUGGCCCCGGUCUAAGUUCCUUGGAACAGGACGUCAUAGAGGG